This is a long non-coding RNA of Octopus bimaculoides (California two-spot octopus), 401 nucleotides long. The record is from RefSeq and is a predicted model, not a curated record. Lineage: Eukaryota; Metazoa; Mollusca; Cephalopoda; Octopoda; Octopodidae.
UGCGGCUAAAGACACGCAGCUAGCUUUACUGAUUGAGUGUGACAAGGGACGGAUUGAUGUCUAGCAAGAUAUAUUUAAACGAAGUCUAUGAAAAGCAUUCGACAAUCCAGAAUCGACCCACCCUCUCUGAUCGAAGUAACCAAGUCUCGAAGCAUGCCAAGAAGAUUCCGUCCAGAUUCUCUGUUGUCGGCUGAAUUCCUGAUUGUUGUUUCUAAGUUAUUUGGGGACGUAAGAGAGGUGCAAUUGUAUCCCCUAGACCGUCUCUGCUUUGUGUUCGAUAAGCGUGGGCUCAUUUCUGUGUAUGUUUUUGCUUUAUUUUCCUUCAGCAAGGGCUUAUCCGAUGCCUAUUCUACGAUGAACUGUGUUUCGUAGUUAAUAAACAAAUUGCUUUGUCUUUGCCA